Molecule: ribosomal RNA, 722 nt
Filed under: uncultured bacterium
Lineage: Bacteria
Description: bacterial SSU rRNA
Rfam family: Bacterial small subunit ribosomal RNA
Source: RNAcentral
AGUCGAGCGGGGAAGGUAGCUUGCUACUUAACCUAGCGGCGGACGGGUGAGUAAUGCUUGGGAAUCUGCCUAUUAGUGGGGGACAACAUCUCGAAAGGGAUGCUAAUACCGCAUACGUCCUACGGGAGAAAGCAGGGGACCUUCGGGCCUUGCGCUAAUAGAUGAGCCUAAGUCGGAUUAGCUAGUUGGUGGGGUAAAGGCCUACCAAGGCGACGAUCUGUAGCGGGUCUGGGAGGAUGAUCCGCCACACUGGGACUGAGACACGGCCCAGACUCCUACGGGAGGCAGCAGUGGGGAAUAUUGGACAAUGGGGGGAACCCUGAUCCAGCCAUGCCGCGUGUGUGAAGAAGGCCUUUUGGUUGUAAAGCACUUUAAGCGAGGAGGAGGCUACCGAGAUUAAUACUCUUGGAUAGUGGACGUUACUCGCAGAAUAAGCACCGGCUAACUCUGUGCCAGCAGCCGCGGUAAUACAGAGGGUGCAAGCGUUAAUCGGAUUUACUGGGCGUAAAGCGCGCGUAGGUGGCCAAUUAAGUCAAAUGUGAAAUCCCCGAGCUUAACUUGGGAAUUGCAUUCGAUACUGGUUGGCUAGAGUAUGGGAGAGGAUGGUAGAAUUCCAGGUGUAGCGGUGAAAUGCGUAGAGAUCUGGAGGAAUACCGAUGGCGAAAGCAGCCAUCUGGCCUAAUACUGACACUGACGUGCGAAAGCAUGGGGAGCAAACAGGA